AUUGAACGCUGGCGGCAGGCCUAACACAUGCAAGUCGAACGAGUGGCGGACGGGUGAGUAAUGUCUGGGAAACUGCCCGAUGGAGGGGGAUAACUACCGGAAACGGUAGCUAAUACCGCAUACCAUCGGAUGUGCCCAGAUGGGAUUAGCUAGUAGGUGGGGUAACGGCUCACCUAGGCGACGAUCCCUAGCUGGUCUGAGAGGAUGACCAGCCGCACUGGAACUUAGACACGGUCCAGACUCCUACGGGAGGCAGCAGUGGAGCAUGUUGCACAAUGGGCGCAAGGCUGAUGCAGCCAUGCCGCGUGUAUGAAGAAGGCCUUCGGGUUGUACAGAACUUUCAGCGAGGAGGCGUUACUAGAAGAAGAAGCACCGGCUAACUCCCUGCCAGCAGCCGCGGUAAUAC
This 406-nucleotide ribosomal RNA is filed under the name uncultured bacterium. RNAcentral describes it as "partial 16S ribosomal RNA". It matches the Rfam family "Bacterial small subunit ribosomal RNA", at positions 30 to 526 of the family's 1533-position model. The record is from RNAcentral.